Molecule: ribosomal RNA, 631 nt
Filed under: Eustrongylides sp. CIFRI-N3nN
Lineage: Eukaryota; Metazoa; Nematoda; Enoplea; Dioctophymatida; Dioctophymatidae
Description: SSU rRNA
Rfam family: Eukaryotic small subunit ribosomal RNA
Source: RNAcentral
CGCGGUAAUUCCAGCUCCAAUAGCUUAUAUUAAAGUUGUUGCGGUUAAAACGCUCGUAGUUGGAUCUGCUGUAAUCGGGAGCGGUGUCCCCGGAAUGUUAUCGGGUGACUGACUGCAUCUUGAGCUUCGAUGUCGGUUGAUUCGUUGGAUGCUCUUAAAAAAGUGACCAAUGUGUGCUGAAAAUUUACUUUGAACAAAAUAGAGUGCUUAAAGCAAGUGAUGUGCUUGAAUAUUAUUGCAUGGAAUAAUGGAGAAGGACCUCGGUUCUAUUUUUUGGUUUUCGGAUCUGAGGUAAUGAUUAAAAGGAACAGUCGGGGACAUUCGUAUUGCUGCGUUAGAGGUGAAAUUCUUGGAUCGCAGUAAGACGAACAACUGCGAAAGCAUUUGUCAAGGAUGUUUUCAUUAAUCAAGAACGAAAGUUAGAGGUUCGAAGGCGAUCAGAUACCGCCCUAGUUCUAACUGUAAACGAUGCCAACUAGCGAUUCGUUGAUGUUAUUGGAUUACGAUUGGACGAGAAUCUUCCGGGAAACCAAAGUUAUUCGGUUCCUGGGGAAGUAUAGUUGCAAAGCUGAAACUUAAAGGAAUUGACGGAGGGGCACCACCAGGAGUGGAGCCUGCGGCUUAAUUUGAC